AUGAUGAUGAAUUGCCCUGGUCCUAUCCUCUCCGAGCCGUCUGAUUUGGCAACGGAGGGCCAGGAUCGGCAGCUCGUACGGAUAACCCCUCGCAGUGCACCUACCGUAGUUAUGGGACGCAACAUUGACAUGCAUGCAAAUGCUGCUGGAAUAAGCGUACGCAUGAUGCCGGAUCCACGUGUCCAUGCAGGAAUUCGGUCCAUGCACCGUCGCCUUCGGACCUAUUCUGUGUUUGCCCAUGCCUUCCACUUCCAGCCUACUUUUGUGUAUGCCUUGUUGUUUAUGUGUCUCGGCACGAGACAGGCUGAGAAUCACCGGGUGGGUCGUGCAAAAAUCAUGCUGUUUGGAAUAGAUGGCUCGAUUGAUUUGUCAGUCCAUUAA
RNAcentral lists this ribosomal RNA (381 nucleotides) under Triticum aestivum (bread wheat). RNAcentral describes it as "partial small subunit ribosomal RNA". The record is from RNAcentral. Lineage: Eukaryota; Viridiplantae; Streptophyta; Magnoliopsida; Poales; Poaceae.